AAGGACAUGGUUUUCCACCCGAACGGACAUACACCGCUUGCUUCUCUGAUUUUAACCUACCGCGGGUGAGUAACCUGUGGAUUACCUACCUAUGAUAUCGGGACAUCUUCUGGAAAGCGGAGCUAAUACCGGACCUAAUCUUUAACCGCAAGGUUUAGAAGAGAUCUACAGUUUUGCUGUCAAUUUCAGUGUGACUGACGCUGCACUAACUAGUUUCUAUUGUCCCGGCUUACGAUGGCUCCGAUCCAUAACCGACCUGGCAGGGUGAUCGGCCACACCGAAAGUGAUACACAGUCCAUACUCCUCCGGGAGGCAGCAAUGGGGACUCUUCCGCGGUGGGCCAACGCCUGACGGAGCUACGCCACCAGUGACAUCAUCGUCUUCUGAUCGAACAACUCUGUUAUUGAAGAAGAACAUAUAUGUAACUAACUGUGCACAUCUCGACGGUACCUAAUCGGAAGACCACUGCUAAUUACUUGCAAACUGCCGCUUCUAUACCUACGUGAUAUGCGUCCUCCGGAAUUAUGGGGCUUACUGCGCCUGCAUGCAGUAUUUUAACUCUAAUUUGAACGCCCACGGCUCAACCGUGGACGGGAAUUGGAAACUGGACAACUUGAGUGCCUAAGACGAUUGUGGAAUUCCAUGUGUUCCGUUCAACUGCGCAGAUGAUGGCAGGAACACUCGUGGCGCGCACCACUUUCUGGUCUGUUAGUAACACCGAUGUGCGGAAGACUGUGGAGCAAAGUAGAUUAGAUACCCUGGUAGUCCACGCCUUAAACGACCAUUGCUAAUUGUAAUGCGGUUUCUGCCCCUUAAUGCUGCAGCUAACCGACUACGCACUCCGCCAGGGGAGUACUACCGCCUGAUUGGUGCUCAAAGGACUGGACCUGCACCCUCACGUACACGUGGAUGAAGUUGCAUCAUUUACAGCGACGUCUAGAACUCUACGAGUUUCGGUCAUCCUUAGACAGCUCUCGAGACAGAGCCGUCCUCUUCUGGGGACAAAGUGACUAAUGGUGCAGGGCUGUUUUUAGCUCCUGCCGUGCGAUUUUGGAAUAACCUCCCGCGAGUAUCACCACUCUUGAGGAUACUUGCCGUCUAUAAAUUGAGACCUCUAAUUUGACUGCUGGUGACAAACCGGAGGAAGGUGGGGAUGACGUCAAAUCAUCAUGCCCCUUAUGAUUUGGGCUACACACGUGCUACAAUGGACAAUACAAAGGGCAGCGAAACCGCGAGGUCAAGCAAAUCCCAUAAAGUUGUUCUCAGUUCGGAUUGUAGUCUGCAACUCGACUACAUGAAGCUGGAAUCGCUAGUAAUCGUAGAUCAGCAUGCUACGGUGAAUACGUUCCCGGGUCUUGUACACACCGCCCGUCACACCACGAGAGUUUGUAACACCCGAAGCCGGUGGAGUAACCUUUUAGGAGCUAGCCGUCGAAGGUGGACG
RNAcentral lists this ribosomal RNA (1444 nucleotides) under Staphylococcus aureus. Its description in RNAcentral is "bacterial SSU rRNA". It matches the Rfam family "Bacterial small subunit ribosomal RNA". Lineage: Bacteria; Bacillati; Bacillota; Bacilli; Caryophanales; Staphylococcaceae. The record is from RNAcentral.